CAGAUGUGAAAGCCCGAGGCUUAACCUCGCGGGUUGCAUUUGGAACUGGCGAGCUAGAGUACAGGAGAGGAAAGCGGAAUUCCUAGUGUAGCGGUGAAAUGCGUAGAUAUUAGGAAGAACACCAGUGGCGAAGGCGGCUUUCUGGACUGAAACUGACGCUGAGGCUCGAAAGCGUGGGGAGCAAACAGGAUUAGAUACCCUGGUAGUCCACGCCGUAAACGAUGAGUGCUAGGUGUCGGGGAGGAAUCCUCGGUGCCGCAGCUAACGCAAUAAGCACUCCACCUGGGGAGUACGACCGCAAGGUUGAAACUCAAAGGAAUUGACGGGGGCCCGCACAAGCGGUGGAGCAUGUGGUUUAAUUCGAAGCAACGCGAAGAACCUUACCAAGGCUUGACAUCCCGAUGACCGCUCUAGAGAUAGAGUUUCUCUUCGGAGCAUCGGUGACAGGUGGUGCAUGGUUGUCGUCAGCUCGUGUCGUGAGAUGUUGGGUUAAGUCCCGCAACGAGCGCAACCCUUAUCCUUAGUAGCCAUCAUUGAGUUGGGCACUCUAGGGAGACUGCCGUGGAUAACACGGAGGAAGGUGGGGAUGACGUCAAAUCAUCAUGCCCCUUAUGUCUUGGGCUACACACGUGCUACAAUGGCUGGUAACAGAGUGAAGCGAGACGGCGACGUUAAGCAAAUCACAAAAACCCAGUCCCAGUUCGGAUUGUAGUCUGCAACUCGACUACAUGAAGCUGGAAUCGCUAGUAAUCGCGAAUCAGAAUGUCGCGGUGAAUACGUUCCCGGGCCUUGUACACACCGCCCGUCACACCAUGGGAGUUGGAAGCACC
RNAcentral lists this ribosomal RNA (830 nucleotides) under uncultured Clostridium sp. RNAcentral describes it as "bacterial SSU rRNA". It matches the Rfam family "Bacterial small subunit ribosomal RNA", at positions 589 to 1421 of the family's 1533-position model. The record is from RNAcentral. Lineage: Bacteria; Bacillati; Bacillota; Clostridia; Eubacteriales; Clostridiaceae.